Molecule: ribosomal RNA, 883 nt
Filed under: uncultured bacterium
Lineage: Bacteria
Description: bacterial SSU rRNA
Rfam family: Bacterial small subunit ribosomal RNA
Source: RNAcentral
CAGCAGCCGCGGUAAUACGUAGGUGGCAAGCGUUGUCCGCAAUUUCUGGGUGUAAAGGGAGCGUAGGCGGGGAUCCAAGUUGAAUGUUUAAACUAUCGGCUCAACCGGUAGUCGCGUUCAAAACUGCAUCUCUUGAGUGGAGUAGAGGCAGGCGGAAUUCCUAGUGUAGCGGUGAAAUGCGUAGAUAUUAGGAGGAACACCAGUGGCGAAGGCGGCCUGCUGGGCUCUAACUGACGCUGAGGCUCGAAAGCGUGGGUAGCAAACAGGAUUAGAUACCCUGGUAGUCCACGCCGUAAACGAUGAUUACUAGGUGUGGGGGGACUGACCCCUUCCGUGCCGGAGUUAACACAAUAAGUAAUCCACCUGGGGAGUACGACCGCAAGGUUGAAACUCAAAGGAAUUGACGGGGGCCCGCACAAGCAGUGGAGUAUGUGGUUUAAUUCGAAGCAACGCGAAGAACCUUACCAGGUCUUGACAUCGAGUGACGAAUGUAGAGAUACAUUCUUCCUUCGGGACACGAAGACAGGUGGUGCAUGGUUGUCGUCAGCUCGUGUCGUGAGAUGUUGGGUUAAGUCCCGCAACGAGCGCAACCCUUAUCAUUAGUUGCUACGCAAGAGCACUCUAAUGAGACUGCCGUGGAUAACACGGAGGAAGGUGGGGAUGACGUCAAAUCAUCAUGCCCUUUAUGACCCGGGCUACACACGUACUACAAUGGCACUCAAACAGAGGGAUGCAACGUCGCGAGGCGAAGCGGAACCCAAAAAAGUGUCUCAGUUCAGAUUGUAGGCUGCAACUCGCCUACAUGAAGUCGGAAUUGCUAGUAAUCGCAGAUCAGCAUGCUGCGGUGAAUACGAUGCCGGGCCUUGCACUCACCGCCCGUCAA